Long non-coding RNA from Heterocephalus glaber (naked mole-rat), 866 nucleotides. NCBI's taxonomy places the organism in Eukaryota, Metazoa, Chordata, Mammalia, Rodentia, Bathyergidae. The record is from Ensembl.
UGGAGAUACAAUGGUGAACCAGGCCCAUGGCUGCUUGAAUGAAUGGCUUUAACCAUCUAUUAAUAUAGCUGCUGUAGGAAGCAAGUGACAGUAACCACAGCUUUAGAAAAGAGGCCACAGCUCCACCCAGAAUUCUCGAGAGUUUUCCACACUUCUUGACAAUGAAUGUUCAGACUCAAAAGAAUACAUUGCGACUGGCACAGCAAGCAGCAUGAACAUCACAGUCGCCAGGGUCCCCUUGCUUCCCGAGUCCUCCAGCAGUGCCAGUGAGCCAUCCAGGGAAAACUACCGCUGUCUUCCACGGCAGUUUGCUGUGUGACCGUCCCAGCAGAGGGUGCGCAGAGCAGAAUUUGUUUUGGCCCAGGAGAUACAGAAACACAAGGGCCCUGUACGGAACAGUCCAGCGGUGCUUCCUGUGUGCCCUGCGCUAUUGUAUAAACCCUGCAGUCUCCUGGGAGGGUCUGGCUCUGUACUUCAAACUGGCCUUCACUGCAUUCCAGGGAUCCUUCUGCCUCAGCCUCCCGAGUACUGGGAUUACAGGUGUUUGGAGUCUCCUGGAAUUGAAUUGCAUGCAGGAGAAGAAACUGUGCUUCCUGAGCAGGUCCCGUGUGCCCAGUGCUGCCCUAUAGCAGGGACACAGAUGGGUGUCUUUCCUUUCUGCCCUCUCCGUGCUCUGGGCGGGCUACCAAGUCCAUGUCAAUUACUACCAGGAGUGAGGGAGUUUUUUUACACUAGUUCUGUUAUUGUAACCUUUCCUAGUUUUAUUAAUCUCUUUAAUUGGACCAAUGUUAUCCUUCAUUUGGAAAUUAUCCAAUUUGAAAAUUUUAUUCUCGCUUGAUGAUCAGGAAGGAAAUGCAGAUACGGGG